Long non-coding RNA from Ostrea edulis (European flat oyster), 1205 nucleotides. RefSeq lists it as uncharacterized. The record is from RefSeq and is a predicted model, not a curated record. NCBI's taxonomy places the organism in Eukaryota, Metazoa, Mollusca, Bivalvia, Ostreida, Ostreidae. The transcript has 2 exons.
UCUAGUUGAUUUAGAUACAUUGUUUUGAUUCGACUUCUCUUUUUUAAUUUAUUUAAAUAAUUAACAAACUGCAAUGUUUUUACACGAUGAACUGUUAAACAUCAUGUAUGUAUGUAUGUUAUCAGUGCAGAGCAAAUCUUUACGGGGCCUCCUGGAUGUAAACAUUCACGAGAGGCAUUGUGGGAAGGCCAGAGAAUGGCGAAAUCAAAUUGUGAUGUGUACAUUUUAUCACCGUAUGUAGACAUGUAUAUUCAUUGUACAGCUACGAGCACAUGAACUGCCCUCGAUUACGCAUUUGGAGCAUUAGUCAAUACUAACGAAGGAUAUAUUGUUGUCUGAAUCGUUUACCAUGUUUCGACUACGAGAAAAUUCUGACGGUCAUAUUUGCAAUGGAUUGAUAAACACAUAAAGAUACAGUGCAGAUAUAUUUAUAAACUGUCCCCAGUGAUAUUGUAACUAGUAAGGAAAAGUUAAUGGUGACACUUUAAUGUGUGAUGGAAUUGGACGUUGCUAAAAAGUGCAGAGGGGAUUUAAGAAGCUAUCUGGGCCAUAUCAGGCAGUACUCUAAGCGUUUCAGUAGGUGUUCGGCGUGGGAAUCAGAACACGUGAGACCGCGCUGUACGUACAUGGGUGUUCCACGUGGUGGACUUGGCAAUUAUUUUGUGGGCCUAGUGUUGUCAUUAGUGUAGUUGGCGUUAUACCCAGUAUCGUUGUUCAGUGAGAGACCUGUGAGUCCGGGACUGGAAGCGGAGGGGCUAUUCGCGCUGUAUGGAGGCCUGGUUGUGCCAAGUGUGACGUGGCGUUAAAUUGAAUUGUGCUGAGUAGCCAAACUUUCAUAUUGAGUUUCAGUAAAUUAAACAUUUUAUCAAAAAGGAAUUUGAGAAAUUUGUACAAAACGUAAUUUACUACUGUUUAACCUUUUCUGUAGUUAGCGGAAUUAGCUACUAUUUGAACCAUUAUGUAAUACAUUUAUUACCAGUUAUAUUUUCAGCCUGGAAUGACAUAUUUGUUGUAUUAACUAUUGGAUUGUCUUGACAGUUAUACGUUAUAUUGAUUGUCAAUAUUGCCAGGUUUAUUAUACCAAUUUAUAUUUUCUUUCUCGGUGAGAGAGUAUGGGUGUGUGAAUGUGAAAGUGUGAUUUCUUUGUUUUUCAAACAUCUCUAUAUUUCUUAUCUUAUUGCAAAAUAAAUUUUCUUUUUAUUUAU